Long non-coding RNA from Etheostoma spectabile (orangethroat darter), 105 nucleotides. RefSeq lists it as uncharacterized. NCBI's taxonomy places the organism in Eukaryota, Metazoa, Chordata, Actinopteri, Perciformes, Percidae. The record is from RefSeq and is a predicted model, not a curated record. The transcript has 3 exons.
AAAUUUAGAAAUGUGUUUAUUUAAUAUUGAAAACAACACCUCUAUGCACCUCACGAUAAGGCUGUGAGUUGCUGGCAGACAGUUUGAGUAACAGAAUUUUAAAUA